AUGGGUUUAAGGAGGUCUAGCAGUGUUGAUGAUGUGUAUGGAGGUGGGUGCCUCAUGGAGGAGCUGCCACUUCCCGUGUAUGAUCCAAGCUUGCAGCCCACCUAUGUGUUGGCAUUGGAGGAUACACGAGAGUAUGUGUUGAACACGGUGAAGAGGCACAUAUUCGCCGUGGAGACCUUGGCCGAAGAAUCGACUCCCUCACCGAGGAACUCCGUCGAGAUAGGCUUGCUGCACGGGGUCGACAUCGACAACUCCCCGAACAGCAGGGCCAACGCCACCUUGAGGAGGGGCAUGGAGAGCACAUCCACGUCUACUCGGGCGAUGCUCAUAGCUACUACGCUGCACCACCUCGGCGUGCUUGCCACGACCAGCGAGGUGCUACUUGGGCGCCAUCGUCUCCACCAUGAGAUGGGCUUGCUGCACGGGGUCGACAUCGACAACUCCCCAUACAACAGGACUACCAUGGAGAGCAUUGAAGCGACCACUCUGAUGAUGCUCGAAACUACUACGAGCCUCGACCAUGACGUGCUCAUCAUGAUCAUCAUGGAGAAGGCCAAGAAGGCUUUGUCAUGGGAGGAAGAGGUCAUGGGCGUGCUCAUCGUGACCAUGAAGAUGAUGGGAUUGAUAAAUUCAAACUUACCAUACCAUUGUUCAAUGGGAAAACCAAGCCUGAUGAUUAUUUGGAGUGGGAGAUGCACGUGGUUCAAAUCUUUGAUAGCCACCGCUAUACAGAGGAGAAGAAGGUACGAUAUGCAUCCAUUGAGUUUACCGGAUAUGCUUUGA
This 783-nucleotide ribosomal RNA is filed under the name Triticum aestivum (bread wheat). Its description in RNAcentral is "partial small subunit ribosomal RNA". The record is from RNAcentral. Lineage: Eukaryota; Viridiplantae; Streptophyta; Magnoliopsida; Poales; Poaceae.